Molecule: ribosomal RNA, 1320 nt
Filed under: Triticum aestivum (bread wheat)
Lineage: Eukaryota; Viridiplantae; Streptophyta; Magnoliopsida; Poales; Poaceae
Description: partial small subunit ribosomal RNA
Source: RNAcentral
AUGAACAGGGGUCACAUCAGCAGCUCGGAGCUCAUCGACGCCAAGCUCGAGGAACACCGGAUCUCCACCGCCAGGCACUGCCCCAACUGCCGCCACAAGCUCGACUGCAAACCGAAGGAUUGGUUGGGGCUACCGGCUGGCGUCAAGUUCGAUCCGACAGACCAGGAGCUGAUCGAGCACCUCGAGGCCAAGGUGAGGGAAGAAGGCUCGAGAUCUCACCCUCUUAUCGAUGAGUUUAUACCCACCAUAGACGGCGAGGACGGCAUAUGCUACACACAUCCUGAGAAACUUCCAGGUGUGACAAUGGACGGCCUAAGCAAGCAUUUCUUCCAUCGCCCUUCCAAGGCGUACACGACGGGCACGAGGAAGCGGCGCAAGAUACAGACGGAGUGCGAUGUGCAUAAGGGGGAGACGAGGUGGCACAAGACCGGCAAGACACGACCGGUGAUGGCCAACGGCCGGCAGAAGGGCUGCAAGAAGAUCCUGGUGCUCUACACCAACUUCGGCAAGCACCGCAAGCCUGAGAAAACUAACUGGGUGAUGCAUCAGUAUCACCUCGGUGACCUCGAGGAGGAGAAGGAGGGGGAGCUCGUCGUUUGCAAGAUCUUCUACCAGACACAGCCCAGGCAGUGCAGCUGGUCCGCCUCCUCAGACCGUGGUGGUGCCGGUGGCGCCGUAGCCAUUGCCGCCGCCGCGGCAGUGACGGUGCAGGAGCAGCGUAUGAGGGACAGCGGCAGCGGCAGCUCCUCGUCGAGGGACCACGAGGCGUUGUCGGCCACGUCGUACCCGGCCGGGUAUGCCAUGGCGGAGGCCGUCGAGAUGCAGCACUUGAAACACUCCGGCGACCAUUUCAGCUUCGCGCCUUUCAGGAAGAGCUUCGAGGAGGUUGGUAUAGGCGGCGACCAGGUGACGUCCGAUCAGCUUGGACGAUCAGAGCAUCAGCAGCAUACUGGCCAGGAACAGCAGCCUCACCGGCCGGACCUUGCAACGACGGCCGUGCCUGCCACGGCCUUCCUGGUCAGCAGGCCGACGAACCCCAUCUCAGCUACCGUUCCGCCACCGUUGCAGCACACUUCUGUCGUGCUGGACCAUGAUCAGUUUCACGUGCCAGCAAUUUUUCUCCACCACGACAAAUUUCAGAACAUGCAACAACAACAACAGCACCAGCAAAAGAUUGACCGCAGGUCUGCUGGCUUGGAAGAACUGGUAAUGGGGUGCACGUCUACAUGCACAAAAGGAGAGACUUCGAUUCCUCACUCCCAAGAGACAGAAUGGCCUUACCCAUACUGGCCUCCUGACAACCAAGAUCAUCAUGGAUAG